CCUACGGGAGGCAGCAGUGAGGAAUAUUGGUCAAUGGCCGAGAGGCUGAACCAGCCAAGUCGCGUGAGGGAAGAAUGUCCUAUGGAUUGUAAACCUCUUUUGUCAGGGAGCAAAGUCACCCACGUGUGGGUGUUGGAGAGUACCUGAAGAAAAAGCAUCGGCUAACUCCGUGCCAGCAGCCGCGGUAAUACGGAGGAUGCGAGCGUUAUCCGGAUUUAUUGGGUUUAAAGGGUGCGUAGGCGGGUUAUCAAGUCAGCGGUAAAAUCGUGGAGCUCAACUCCAUCCAGCCGUUGAAACUGAUGAUCUUGAGUGGGCGAGAAGUAUGCGGAAUGCGUGGUGUAGCGGUGAAAUGCAUAGAUAUCACGCAGAACUCCGAUUGCGAAGGCAGCAUACCGGCGCCCGACUGACGCUGAAGCACGAAAGCGUGGGUAUCGAACAGGAUUAGAUACCCCAGUAGUC
This 459-nucleotide ribosomal RNA is filed under the name uncultured bacterium. RNAcentral's name for it is "partial 16S ribosomal RNA". It matches the Rfam family "Bacterial small subunit ribosomal RNA", at positions 338 to 795 of the family's 1533-position model. The record is from RNAcentral.